Molecule: long non-coding RNA, 718 nt
Organism: Myotis lucifugus (little brown bat)
Lineage: Eukaryota; Metazoa; Chordata; Mammalia; Chiroptera; Vespertilionidae
Exons: 3
Source: RefSeq, a predicted model, not a curated record
AGCCUGGCCUCAGGGCGUUGAUUCCUGGCCGGUCACCUUGUGUCAGGGGUGGAACCUUGCGGUUUUGGUUCAGCCGACGGGGAAACGUCGGCCAGACCUGUGUUCGUUUUACCGUAACGCGGUGGUCAGGCAGGUGGGCUCCAGGCAGUGGGUCGGGACCCCGAGGAGACACGGGACCCCGUGCCGAGCUCCACAGGCCUGGAGGGGAGACGACACGCACACGGGGCUAGAGGACGAGGUGGGACAAGGACAGAGGAGGAAGCCGGUCACCUCCAAGCCACGGAGAGAGGCCCUGACAGCCACAGAAGGAACCCACCCUGCCAACACUUUGAUUUUGGACUUCUCGCCCCCAGAACUGUGAGGCACUACAUUUCUGUUGUUGAAGCCACUCAGGUUAUGGUGUGAGAAUCCCAUGAGACUGUACACAGAGCCCAUGGCACCGUCCCCCGGCUCUGGACAAGUGGCGGUGUUAUGCCCAGAGUUGUUGCUGCUGCCAGGACCCCAAGGAACGACCACUCAGGCAAACUUGAACGAGACUGUCCUUGAGGGUUCUUGGUGCACACAACGGAAGCUAGCUCUGCCGUGUGGAGUAGGAAGGGGGUUUAAAAAGACACUGGGGAGCUCGUGGCUACCCAGGUUGUUGGGGGGGCCUGGAGAACUCAGUCUAAGUUUCCAGUGACAAAGCCCCCAGCCCCCAGUAGGAAAACACCCUGCCACC